UUCCAGAUGAGAUUGUACCGAUGUGAAGGAAGGAGGGGAAGGGUCUGUGUUGGACGAGUUGCAGUAGUGAGUCAAUUGUGCAUUGCAGCAGGUAAUUGUUUGAGAAAUUGUUUGAAGAGGGUGGAGAGAGAGAGGUUGAACGGCUUUUAUGGGUCACGGUCACAUGGCGUGGGCGUGACACUGAUCCCGCUGGUUUGGUCAGAAAUGGCCCUUAAGAAUCAUUAAGUAGAGUUCCACCUGGCCUGUUUUAAGGUAUUUUGGGCGUACGGGGUCUUUGCGACUGUGCUGCGAUGCGUCUUUCUCUUGGCUUCUUUAAUUUGCACGGAAGGAGAGAGAAAGAGGGAGAGAGCGAGAGCGAAGCGAGUGUAAGAGGAGGACAAUGGACGAGCGGAUGAGAAGAAAUUGGUUGUGAGUGGAGGAGGAUCGUGGGGGUCUGCAGAGUUGAGUUGGAGUAAUGGCAGACGAAGUGAAGUCGCUAUGGAAUCGGUAUUUGAGCAACUUGCAGCAGCACCCGUUGCGCACCAAAUUAAUGGAGAGGAGCACAGUGGAAUGAAAAUGUAAUAGGCAGAGGCCAUUACAUCAGGAACAUCAGGAGUAUUGGCAGGAAGUGCUGACAUGGUUGCUCAGAAGUUGGCUGGAGCGAAGAAUCUGCAGUUUAAGCGUUCUUUUCUUCUCAUGGUUGGGACUUGAAGGCUUAGUGGAUGCGUGUUGCAAAUGUUUUAAGUCGUCAAAAUGCACACUUUAAUGUAGCUAUGUUUAUGACAUCUGACCAAGUACAUAACAAUACUUGCAAAGUUACUAUGGUUGUCUCAAUUUUUUCAGCUUGAGAAUUGGCCUUCACUGGUGAUCAACAAUGAUUCUCUAAAUUUUGGCCCGAAGACCUGGAUCUUAGUGCUUCUCCUGUCUAGUUCCUCCUGCCAAUUGUAUUUCCUGGGUUGCAGCUCUAUGGUUUCUGUUAUUCAGGACCAUUCGGACAUUACUUCCACUGGCUUAUGGAGAAACUCGUCCCUGCAGCUCGCGAUAGCAAGACAAUAGUCAGCAAGUUAUUGUGGAGCAGCUGACAUCUAGCCCAUGGAACAACUUUCUUUUUAUGACCUACCUUGGUAUGGUGGUUGAAGGGAGAAAAUGGAGCUCGGUUAAGAGUCAGCUUAAAUCACAUUUUCCAUCCGUACAGCUAAAUGCUUGGAGGUUCUGGCCGUUGGUCGGGUUGAUUAAUUACAAGUACCUUCCCAUUCAGCUGCGAGUUCUUUUCCACAACUUAGCAGCUGUGUGCUGGGGAAUAUUCUUGAUACUUCGUUCCAAGGCAUCGGUUCCCAAACUUGCCACUGCAUAGAGCAUUGUAAGAGGCUGUAGAAGUCCGGGUGAGUGCUUUACCUAGGAUCCAGAUCUUACGUAAAGUUCUUGACUGUUGGUGUAUAAUAGUUGCUAGUUUUGAUUUCUUUUUUUGUGUAACAGAAUUUCAUGAUGCAGAAUUUUGAGAUCUCGGAUAAAUCUUAGUAAACUGAAACACGUUAAUUAUUUCUUUGUAGAAAACCAUCCAGCUUUUGCACUUAAUUCAUCGAUUACUCUUUUUCAACUAAAUCACCUAUUGCCCUUGCCCUUCUUGUUAAUCGAAACAUCUUUCAAUUUCGCCAUUUUAAUCUCCAGAAUCCAACGGUUGGAUUGAAACACGUUUAUCUUAUAGAAAUACUUCUGGUGCAAUCCUCUUUGGAAUUUGCAUGCCUGUGCCUUGUGAGGUUUUACGGAGAUGAAGUAUCAGGGAAAGUUAGGAAACUAAUGGUGCCAUCAGAUGGAAUCUGUACACAUAUAUUUUUAAUUGGGGAUGGAAAGACAAGACUGUAGUCUCUACCUGAGGGAAGUAAAUCCCUCUUCAAUCUAAAUAUGCAUUACUA
Physcomitrium patens is the source of this 1892-nucleotide non-coding RNA. NCBI's taxonomy places the organism in Eukaryota, Viridiplantae, Streptophyta, Bryopsida, Funariales, Funariaceae. The record is from RefSeq and is a predicted model, not a curated record.